RNAcentral lists this transfer RNA (79 nucleotides) under Klebsiella aerogenes. RNAcentral describes it as "tRNA-OTHER". Lineage: Bacteria; Pseudomonadati; Pseudomonadota; Gammaproteobacteria; Enterobacterales; Enterobacteriaceae. The record is from RNAcentral.
GGUGGAUUAGCUCAGCUGGGAGAGCACCUCCCAUUACAAGGAGGGGGUCGGCGGUUCGAUCCCAGUCUAUCGCCCACCA